RNAcentral lists this unclassified non-coding RNA (345 nucleotides) under soil metagenome. Its description in RNAcentral is "partial contains 5.8S ribosomal RNA, internal transcribed spacer 2, and large subunit ribosomal RNA". The stretch from base 1 to 120 matches the Rfam family "5.8S ribosomal RNA", at positions 35 to 154 of the family's 154-position model. The record is from RNAcentral.
GAUGAAGAACGCAGCGAAAUGCGAUACGUAAUGUGAAUUGCAGAAUUCAGUGAAUCAUCGAGUCUUUGAACGCACAUUGCGCCCCCUGGUAUUCCGGGGGGCAUGCCUGUCCGAGCGUCAUUGCUGCCCUCAAGCACGGCUUGUGUGUUGGGCCUCCGUCCUCCUCCCGGGGGACGGGCCCGAAAGGCAGCGGCGGCACGGCGUCCGGUCCUCGAGCGUAUGGGGCUUCGUCACCCGCUCUUGUAGGCCCGGCCGGCGCUUGCCGACACAUCAAUCUUUUUUCCAGGUUGACCUCGGAUCAGGUAGGGAUACCCGCUGAACUUAAGCAUAUCAAUAAGCGGAGGA